Molecule: ribosomal RNA, 255 nt
Filed under: uncultured bacterium
Lineage: Bacteria
Description: partial 16S ribosomal RNA
Rfam family: Bacterial small subunit ribosomal RNA
Source: RNAcentral
UACGUAGGGUGCAAGCGUUGUCCGGAAUUAUUGGGCGUAAAGAGCUCGUAGGCGGUUUGUCGCGUCUGCUGUGAAAACGCGAGGCUCAACCUCGCGCCUGCAGUGGGUACGGGCAGACUAGAGUGCGGUAGGGGAGAUUGGAAUUCCUGGUGUAGCGGUGGAAUGCGCAGAUAUCAGGAGGAACACCGAUGGCGAAGGCAGAUCUCUGGGCCGUUUGACUGACGCUGAGGAGCGAAAGCGUGGGGAGCGAACAGG